AUGCCGGCGGGCCAGCAGCCGCAGGCGCGCGAGCCCGACAGCGGCCGCCAGCACCCGCCGCCCGCCACGCCCGCGCUCCCGUCCGAGGUGGUGCCGGCCUACCCGCCGCCGGAGUCGGAGGACGACGAGUCCUGGGUGUGGACGCAGAUCAAGGCGGAGGCCCGGCGCGACGCGGACGCCGAGCCGGCGCUCGCCUCCUUCCUCUACGCCACGGUGCUCUCCCACCCCUCCCUGCCCCGCUCCCUCUCCUUCCACCUCGCCAACAAGCUCUGCUCCUCCACCCUCCUCUCCACGCUCCUCUACGACCUCUUCCUCGCCUCCCUCACCGCGCACCCCUCCCUCCGCGCCGCCGUCGUCGCCGACCUCCUCGCCGCGCGCGCCCGCGACCCCGCCUGCGUCGGCUUCUCCCACUGCCUCCUCAACUACAAGGGCUUCCUCGCCAUCCAGGCGCACCGCGUCGCGCACGUGCUCUGGGCGCAGAACCGCCGCCCCCUCGCGCUCGCCCUCCAGUCCCGCGUCGCCGACGUCUUCGCCGUCGACAUCCACCCCGCCGCCGUCGUCGGCAAGGCCAUCCUCCUCGACCACGCCACCGGCGUCGUCAUCGGGGAGACCGCCGUCGUCGGCGACAACGUCUCCAUCCUCCACCACGUCACCCUCGGCGGGACCGGCAAGGCCGUCGGCGACCGCCACCCCAAGAUUGGGGACGGGGUGCUCAUAGGCGCCGGCGCCACCAUCCUCGGCAACGUCAUGAUUGGAGCCGGGGCCAAGAUUGGGGCUGGCUCCGUGGUGCUGAUAGAUGUGCCGGCGAGGAGCACCGCGGUGGGCAACCCUGCCAGGCUGAUUGGAGGGAGGAAGGGCGAGUCCGACAAGGACGAGGACAUGCCCGGAGAGUCCAUGGAUCACACCUCCUUCAUACGGCAGUGGUCCGACUACACCAUCUGA
RNAcentral lists this ribosomal RNA (942 nucleotides) under Triticum aestivum (bread wheat). RNAcentral's name for it is "partial small subunit ribosomal RNA". The record is from RNAcentral. Lineage: Eukaryota; Viridiplantae; Streptophyta; Magnoliopsida; Poales; Poaceae.